This 685-nucleotide ribosomal RNA is filed under the name Bacillus subtilis. Its description in RNAcentral is "bacterial SSU rRNA". It matches the Rfam family "Bacterial small subunit ribosomal RNA", at positions 58 to 725 of the family's 1533-position model. Lineage: Bacteria; Bacillati; Bacillota; Bacilli; Caryophanales; Bacillaceae. The record is from RNAcentral.
CAAGUCGAGCGGACAGAUGGGAGCUUGCUCCCUGAUGUUAGCGGCGGACGGGUGAGUAACACGUGGGUAACCUGCCUGUAAGACUGGGAUAACUCCGGGAAACCGGGGCUAAUACCGGAUGGUUGUUUGAACCGCAUGGUUCAAACAUAAAAGGUGGCUUCGGCUACCACUUACAGAUGGACCCGCGGCGCAUUAGCUAGUUGGUGAGGUAACGGCUCACCAAGGCAACGAUGCGUAGCCGACCUGAGAGGGUGAUCGGCCACACUGGGACUGAGACACGGCCCAGACUCCUACGGGAGGCAGCAGUAGGGAAUCUUCCGCAAUGGACGAAAGUCUGACGGAGCAACGCCGCGUGAGUGAUGAAGGUUUUCGGAUCGUAAAGCUCUGUUGUUAGGGAAGAACAAGUACCGUUCGAAUAGGGCGGUACCUUGACGGUACCUAACCAGAAAGCCACGGCUAACUACGUGCCAGCAGCCGCGGUAAUACGUAGGUGGCAAGCGUUGUCCGGAAUUAUUGGGCGUAAAGGGCUCGCAGGCGGUUUCUUAAGUCUGAUGUGAAAGCCCCCGGCUCAACCGGGGAGGGUCAUUGGAAACUGGGGAACUUGAGUGCAGAAGAGGAGAGUGGAAUUCCACGUGUAGCGGUGAAAUGCGUAGAGAUGUGGAGGAACACCAGUGGCGAAAGCGAC